This 253-nucleotide ribosomal RNA is filed under the name uncultured bacterium. Its description in RNAcentral is "partial 16S ribosomal RNA". It matches the Rfam family "Bacterial small subunit ribosomal RNA", at positions 524 to 776 of the family's 1533-position model. The record is from RNAcentral.
UACGUAGGGGGCAAGCGUGGUCCGGAUUUAUUGGGCGUAAAGAGCGUGUAGGCGGCCAGACAGGUCUGCUGUGAAAACUCGAGGCUCAACCUCGAGACGCCGGUGGAAACCGUCUGGCUAGAGUCCGGAAGAGGAGAGUGGAAUUCCUGGUGUAGCGGUGAAAUGCGCAGAUAUCAGGAAGAACACCCGUGGCUAAGGCGGCUCUCUAGUACGGUACUGACGCUGAGACGCGAAAGCGUGGGGAGCGAACAGG